UAAGGUGACUAUAGCGGCGGGGAACCACCUCUUACCAUUCCGAACAGAGAAGUUAAACCCGCCAGCGCCGAUGGUACUGCAUCAAGCGGGAGAGUAGGUCGUCGCCGACU
This 110-nucleotide ribosomal RNA is filed under the name Bacteroidales bacterium. The record is from RNAcentral. Lineage: Bacteria; Pseudomonadati; Bacteroidota; Bacteroidia; Bacteroidales.